Molecule: long non-coding RNA, 1460 nt
Filed under: Callithrix jacchus (white-tufted-ear marmoset)
Lineage: Eukaryota; Metazoa; Chordata; Mammalia; Primates; Cebidae
Description: lncRNA (ENSCJAG00000081566.1)
Source: RNAcentral
UAAAAUGUUUGUAUGUAAUUCACUUUUAGGUAAUUCUAUCUCUUAGGAAAUAUUGUCUUCUCCAGUGCUCAGCCAGUAAUUCUCCAGAUAAGCUACUGGUUUCCUCUGGAUGUCCACAGUCCUGUUUGGGGACCCCAGCCACAGGCAUGGAGACAUUUAGUUAUUUAGGAGAAUGUGAAAUGGCUGCACUUGCUUCUCUGUUCAGGCGAGAAAUUGGAAUCCAAUUUCUCGGAAUGAAAACGAUGUACUAUUUUUAAAUACAAUGGCUUUGAAGAAUCUGUAUUAUGUUCUUAUACUUAUCUCUGGAUCAUCUUGGCUAAGAUAACUACAGGAUACUGAGUGAGGUUUGAAGCAUCCUGAAUUCUCUGUUGUGUCCAUAUUUUGCUUUAGGGGCUUGUACUAUGAUUUUUAUCUCUUACUUUUUCACAUUCUCCAAAAUUGACUUUAUGGUUUUUCAUCUAUUGUUUUUUUGUCCAUUCCCUUAUGCUAUUCUCUUGUCCACUGCUUAGUAAAUUCCACACUCAGGAUGUUUUUAUUCUGAUAUUUUGUUUUAGGGGGUCAAUUUAAGUAGCAGCUUUAUUGGGCACUACAUACUUAUGCAACCCAUAAUUGCUGAUCUUUUUCUUCCUUGAAAUAAAUACUUUUAUGAUAGAUUCACUCUCUCUCUUCUCCCACCUCUUACACACACACACACACACACACACACACACACACACUUUAACACUCUAACAAAGGCACAUCUUUCUACACGAUAUUCUAGAUACAGUCUUGGAGCAGGAUGGAUUAAUUUGGACUAGGGAGAAAAAGAAAAAUACAUUAAGUUUUUGCACUUUUACACUGCUGGAGACAAUGGCGAAAACCUGAAGAGUCAUAUGAAGAAAUAUUACACAGGUUUUUUUUUCUUUUUUUUCCAGGAAAUUAUAGCAUAUGGCAGACACAGAAACCAUCACAAACCAAAGCAGGAAAUAACAAAGUCAAAUCAAUGGUGGAAGCAGAAAGGGGUUCUACAAAUCUUUCAGCUGAGGAAGUCGUGGUGAAGAGUGAGAGAAAGUGAGCUUCAAGACUGGGAAAGAAUGUAAGUCUCUUUUUUUUCCUUUCCAACUCUUAUUUCAAGUUCAAGGGAUACAUGUGCAGGUUUGUUACAUGGGUAAAUUGGAUGUCAUGAGGGUUUGGUAACCAGAUUAUUUCAUGACUCAGCUAAUAAGCAUAGUACCCUAUAGAUAACUUUUUGAUCUUCACCCUCCUUCCGUGCUCCACCCUCAAAUAGACCCUAGUGUCUUUUCUUCCCUUCUUUGUGUCCACAUGUACUCACAGGUUUGCUUCCACUUACAAGCAAUAACAUAUAGUAUUUGGUUUUCUGUUUCUGUGAUAAUUCACUUACGAUAAUGUCCUCCAGCUGAAUUCAUGUAGCUGUGAAGGACAUGAUUUUAUUCUUUUUUAACAGCUGCAUAGUAUUCCAU